AGAGUUUGAUCCUGGCUCAGGAUGAACGCUGGCGGCGUGCUUAAUACAUGCAAGUCGAACGGAGGUAUGUAGCAAUACGUAUCUUAGUGGCGAACGGGUGAGUAACACGUUGGUGACCUACCCCAGAGAGGGGGAUAACAGCUCGAAAGGGCUGCUAAUACCCCAUGUCGUCAUGGUGCUUAGAAAGCCAUGCCGAAAGGUGCAAACCGCUCUGGGAGGGGCCUGCGUCCCAUCAGCUAGUUGGUAGGGUAAUGGCCUACCAAGGCGACGACGGGUAGGGGACCUGAGAGGGUGACCCCCCACACUGGCACUGAAACACGGGCCAGACACCUACGGGUGGCAGCAGUAGGGAAUAUUGCACAAUGGGGGAAACCCUGAUGCAGCAACGCCGCGUGGGUGAAGAAGGCUUUCGGGUCGUAAAACCCUUUUCCAGGGGAAGAGCAAGGACGGUACCCUGGGAAUAAGUCCCGGCUAACUACGUGCCAGCAGCCGCGGUAAAACGUAGGGGGCGAGCGUUAUCCGGAAUUACUGGGCGUAAAGCGCGUGCAGGCGGCUUGGUAGGUUGGACGUGAAAGCUCCUGGCUUAACUGGGAGAGGCCGUUCAAAACCGCCAGGCUUGAGGACGGAAGAGGGGAGUGGAAUUCCCGGUGUAGUGGUGGAAUGCGUAGAUAUCGGGAGGAACACCUGUGGCGAAAGCGGCUCCCUAGUCCGUAUCUGACGCUCAGACGCGAAAGCGUGGGGAGCGAACGGGAUUAGAUACCCCGGUAGUCCACGCUGUAAACGAUGGAUGCUAGGUGUGGGAGGUCUUGACCCCUUCCGUGCCGUAGCUAACGCGUUAAGCAUCCCGCCUGGGGACUACGGCCGCAAGGUUAAAACUCAAAGGAAUUGACGG
Molecule: ribosomal RNA, 892 nt
Filed under: uncultured bacterium
Lineage: Bacteria
Description: bacterial SSU rRNA
Rfam family: Bacterial small subunit ribosomal RNA
Source: RNAcentral